AACAGCAGAAUGAAGUCUUCUGGGAGCACUCUGGACAAACAGGCAAAUGCAGCCGCUGAGUACGUAAAUUGAGGAAAUUGAGUAGGAUAAAAAAAAAAUCUUCUGGUUAUCACAUAAAAAAGAAGAUAUAUUUGGCUGGUACAAUCAGGAGGAAUGUAAAGCUCCCACGCCUGCCUUCAAUAAUUGAUGAAGUGGGUCAGUGACAUUUUACAGGGCUGUGAUUGAAUUGCACCCUUGAGGAUAAAUAGCGCAUAAACCUUUUCCGCCAGCUCUUUGGAGGGAGCAAGAAGGGUGAGAAAUCGGAUCAGACACAUUAGUCUGCUGACUAAGACUGUAGGCUUCAGUAGACUGUGAGUGAAAAUAAUGGAUUAUAUAUGUUUUUCAUGACCCAGUUUUCUGACAACCAGUUUAUUCUAUAUGCGCUGACACCACUCCUGAUACAUACAACCUCAGAGAAUAAACUCAGCUAUAAUUUGAAAUGUGCUGGCAAUGAGAAGAAAUUAAAUUAAAUUGUAUAUAGAGGAUAAAUGUUCAAACCUGAAUCAGUAUUAAAACCCAGAUUUGUUUACACUUAUGGCAUCAGGGUUGUUCUUAGGUCGGUCUUUACAAAAAGAGCUCAAUACAUGCAGUGUGAGUCUACACUUUCCCUGUUUUUAAUCUAAUCAAAAUUUGCAUCUAGUAAAUAUGAAUCAACCAUAUAUAAGUGCAUAGAAAAGCAAAGUGUUAUUAAAUAAUCUAAUUAAAAUUUACAUCUAGUAAAUAUGGAUCAACCAUAUAUAAGUGCACAGAAAAGCAAAGUGUUGUUAAAUAUGCAUACUACUGACUUAAUCAUAGGAGUUAAGGGGAAACUUGAGAAAACUAGGAUUUUUUGGUAUGUUUUUCUUCUCCUUAAUCUAAUCAGACAACACUAAAAGCCCAAGAGGUAUAUAAACUUCAGUAACUAGUUAUAUUAAACCUGUGUUUACUUAGAUGAUUUGUAUGAGAUAAAUAAGUAAUUACCCAAAGGACAUUAAAAAAUGGAAUAUAUGAGACUGCAUGUGAGCAAGCUAACACAAGGCAGAGAGCCUGACUGGUGCAUAUUUAAUAAGAAGAAUUCCCUGUGCUUUUAUAUCGUCUUCUAUUCUAUAGAAGUCCUUAUAUCACCUUUAUCACCAUAGUAACUCAGCACUUUGCAGUCUUCUCCUUCUAUUCAUUGUAUUAUUUUAUCAGUUUAGUAAAGGAUAAAGUGUUUCCCAGAUCAUCCACCAUUUGGUACCCUGCCUUGUGGGCAUCCUGCCAAGAAAUAUUGUGAAUAAUAUAAUAAUUCAGCAAUCUUCUCCAGAAUAAGAAGUGAUCCCUGAUUUAUACUACCGUACAAUCAAUUUAUCAUUGUAUUUCAUCAUAAUAUUUAAAACUGAAUUAAUCAUGAGUGCUUAACAUCUUUUAACCACUUGAUAAACAUUUCUGUAUCCUUCUGAGUCUGGAGUAUCAAUUACUAUGGUCAUAAACCUCGCACAGGUUGAAGACUGGCUCUAAACUGUCUCUGUCAAAAAGCUGCAUUCAAAGAAAACAGUCAUUAUUUAAGCUCACUAGAGGGUAUUUUUAAAAUUUUCCUCUAUUACAGUACCCCCAAAAGGAAGGAAGGUGCCAGGAAAGCAUGUUUUGUAGCCUCACUUUGCUAUAUUAUUAAAUAUGAACAGCCAUAACAGACUAGAAAAAAUUAGAAGGUAUUUUCAUUUUCAUGCAUAUUUAGUCAUUUCCCUUUGAGCUAUAGCAUAUGAAAUUAGAUAAAUAUGUAGUUACUAAUUAAAUGUUACAUGCUCUCAGAGUGGAUACAUCAGUUAAAAGGAAAGAAAAUCUGCAGUUAGCUAGUUUCAUACAAACAGGAAUGGUAAAGAUUAUAUCAGUGAGUAAAAACAGUUUAAUAGAUUGUAUUCAAAAAAUUAGGAUAUUUCUCUGUCAUUUAAGCAUUUUUUUCAAAGAUACCACCUCCAUAGUUUCUAAAUAUGCGUUUGGCUUACUUUUAUUUAUUCAUACUGAAGCAGUGUGCCUAGAGGCUUUGUCAAAAAGCUUGAGUUUAUCUGCAUGAAUACAUACCUCACUACCUUGAAACAAAGCUGACGUUUCUGGGGUUUGAUCAUUUCACUGCAAACCAUACAUACAUUUCUCCUAGCUUUUAUUUAACAUUGCAAAGCGUUCUUCUUCUGUGUCACAAUACUUCAGUUUUGUGCUUACAGAUUAAUCAUAAUAUAUGAUAGCUAGGCUGGAUGACCCAGAGAAGCAUUUUAGCUUUUAUUCUGAAUAUAACUUUCCAAAGUCUACCUUUUGAUUUGGUUUUAUUCUUAGCAGCACUUCUUUACGCACACUGUUUCUUAAUGUUACCAGCAAAGGCUCAGAAGGAUAAAAAUGUUUUUUUCAACCAUAAAGUACUAUCAUUACGUCAACAGAUAUCUGGUCUCACUAAAUCCUGCCAUAAGAAAUUUAAUUUAAAUGAACAUACUACUUUCAAUCCAUUAG
Falco peregrinus (peregrine falcon) is the source of this 2496-nucleotide long non-coding RNA. RefSeq lists it as uncharacterized. The record is from RefSeq and is a predicted model, not a curated record. Lineage: Eukaryota; Metazoa; Chordata; Aves; Falconiformes; Falconidae. The transcript has 3 exons.